RNAcentral lists this ribosomal RNA (253 nucleotides) under uncultured bacterium. RNAcentral describes it as "partial 16S ribosomal RNA". It matches the Rfam family "Bacterial small subunit ribosomal RNA", at positions 524 to 776 of the family's 1533-position model. The record is from RNAcentral.
UACAGAGGUCCCAAGCGUUGUUCGGAUUCACUGGGCGUAAAGGGCGCGUAGGCGGUCGUGCGCGUCGGAGGUGAAAUCCCCGGGCUUAACCCGGGAGCUGCCUCCGAUACGGCAUGGCUUGAGUCCGGGAGAGGGGAGCAGAAUUCCCAGUGUAGCGGUGAAAUGCGUAGAUAUCUGGAGGAACACCGGUGGCGAAGGCGGCAUCCUGGACCAACACUGACGCUGAGGAGCGAAAGCCAGGGGAGCAAACGGG